ACGUAGGGAGCGAGCGUUGUCCGGAUUCAUUGGGCGUAAAGCGCACGUAGGCGGACUGAUAAGUCAGGGGUGAAAUCCCGGGGCUCAACCCCGGAACUGCCUUUGAUACUGUCAGUCUAGAGUUCGAGAGAGGUGAGUGGAAUUCCGAGUGUAGAGGUGAAAUUCGUAGAUAUUCGGAGGAACACCAGUGGCGAAGGCGGCUCACUGGCUCGAUACUGACGCUGAGGUGCGAAAGCGUGGGGAGCAAACAGGA
RNAcentral lists this ribosomal RNA (253 nucleotides) under uncultured prokaryote. RNAcentral's name for it is "partial 16S ribosomal RNA". It matches the Rfam family "Bacterial small subunit ribosomal RNA", at positions 525 to 777 of the family's 1533-position model. The record is from RNAcentral.